GAAAGCCUGACACAGCAACGCCGCGUGAGUGAUGAAGGCCGUUCGGGUCGUAAAGCUCUGUCAAGUGGGAAGAACCUAUAUAAUGUUAAUAUCAUUAUAUACUGACGGUACCACCUGAAGGAAGCACCGGCUAACUCCGUGCCAGCAGCCGCGGUAAUACGGGGGGUGCAAGCGUUAUUCGGAAUCAUUGGGCGUAAAGAAGCACGUAGGCGGCCUGGUAAGUCAGAUGUGAAAGACCCGGGGCCGUUAAACCCCCGGAAACGGUGCAUUUGUAUACUGUCAGGCUUGAGUAUGGGAGAGGGAAGUGGAAUUCCUGGUGUAGAGGUGAAAUUACGUAGAUAUCAGGAGGAACACCGGUGGCGAAGGCGACUUCCUGGACCAAUACUGACGCUGAGGUGCGAAGGCGUGGGUAGCAAACAGGAUUAGAUACCCCUGGUAG
Molecule: ribosomal RNA, 439 nt
Filed under: uncultured bacterium
Lineage: Bacteria
Description: bacterial SSU rRNA
Rfam family: Bacterial small subunit ribosomal RNA
Source: RNAcentral